UGCGACGGAAUCGGGAGAAGCCGGCCCUCGCGGUCGGUGCCGAAGGAGCAACCGCCCCGGGAAACUCUCAGGCAAAAGGACCGUUCCGGCCAU
Molecule: non-coding RNA, 93 nt
Filed under: Paenirhodobacter enshiensis
Lineage: Bacteria; Pseudomonadati; Pseudomonadota; Alphaproteobacteria; Rhodobacterales
Description: Glycine sequence
Rfam family: Glycine riboswitch aptamer
About the family: This family represents the bacterial glycine riboswitch. Glycine riboswitches usually consist of two metabolite-binding aptamers domains with similar structures in tandem.
Source: RNAcentral